UUAAUGAGAGUUUGAUCCUGGCUCAGGACGAACGCUGGCGGCGUGCCUAAUACAUGCAAGUAGAACGCUGAGGUUUGGUGUUUACACUAGACUGAUGAGUUGCGAACGGGUGAGUAACGCGUAGGUAACCUGCCUCAUAGCGGGGGAUAACUAUUGGAAACGAUAGCUAAUACCGCAUAAGAGUAAUUAACACAUGUUAGUUAUUUAAAAGGAGCAAUUGCUUCACUGUGAGAUGGACCUGCGUUGUAUUAGCUAGUUGGUGAGGUAAAGGCUCACCAAGGCGACGAUACAUAGCCGACCUGAGAGGGUGAUCGGCCACACUGGGACUGAGACACGGCCCAGACUCCUACGGGAGGCAGCAGUAGGGAAUCUUCGGCAAUGGACGGAAGUCUGACCGAGCAACGCCGCGUGAGUGAAGAAGGUUUUCGGAUCGUAAAGCUCUGUUGUUAGAGAAGAACGUUGGUA
This 465-nucleotide ribosomal RNA is filed under the name Streptococcus agalactiae. Its description in RNAcentral is "bacterial SSU rRNA". It matches the Rfam family "Bacterial small subunit ribosomal RNA", at positions 1 to 457 of the family's 1533-position model. Lineage: Bacteria; Bacillati; Bacillota; Bacilli; Lactobacillales; Streptococcaceae. The record is from RNAcentral.